Molecule: unclassified non-coding RNA, 1686 nt
Filed under: uncultured fungus
Lineage: Eukaryota; Fungi
Description: sequence contains 18S rRNA gene, ITS1, 5.8S rRNA gene, ITS2, 28S rRNA gene
Rfam family: Eukaryotic large subunit ribosomal RNA (bases 720-1686)
Source: RNAcentral
GGAAGGAUCAUUAACAAAUUCCAAAACACGCGUGUUUGAUGAAGACAUUGUGUGUGACGACGAUCAUCAAGGAGAGGAGGAGGAGACAAGAAUCGAGGUGUCCCCAUGUUGGGCCAUCUUGCGUCUCUUUGACUGUCGUUGCUUGCAUGUCUGAAUCAGUUAACAACACACAACAACACUCACACUUUAAAAUUGACAACCAAGAGUAUAUAAUCUAAAACGUUAUAUAAAUCGAAACAACUUUUAACAAUGGAUCUCUCGGCUCUUGCAACGAUGAAGAACGCAGCGAACUGCGAAACGUGAUGUGAACUGCACUCUUCGUGAAUCAUCCAAUCUUUGAACGCAAUUUGCACCUUGUGGCUUUUGUCACAAGGUAUACUUGUUUGAGUAUCCAAAACUACCUCACCUCCCUUUCGGGGCGAGAUGGACUUGAGACUCGAUCAAUAAAUGUGUCACUUGUGUGAUACAAAUGUGGUCGUUUCUUUAAAGGUGGUGGUCAUUUAAUUUAUGGAAGGACUCCGUCUGGAGCCUGACAGACUAUUGGGAUAACAUCCUGACGAUCGUCUGUCGGUUCUAUCAUCAAGUUAGACUAGACGUUGACUAACCUAGACCAAUAUGUCGAAGACAAUCCAAUUCAUUUGGAUAUGGCUUCACGUCUAUUUUAUGAGAGAAACUGUAAAAAGUAACGCUUAUAUGCUUAUAUGGACAAGUGUAUCAAUGGAUCUCAAAUCAAGUAAGGAUACCCGCUGAACUUAAGCAUAUCAGUAAGCGGAGGAAAAGAAACUAACAAGGAUUCCCAGAGUAACGGCGAGUGAAACGGGAAGAGCUCAAAUUUGAAAUCUGGCAUCCGUGUAUGGGUGUCCGAAUUGUCAUUGAGAGAGUCGUCUUUUGACAAGCGUGAUGGCCAAAGUUCUCUGGAAAGGGACAACAAAGAGGGUGACAUUCCCGUCUGGGUCAUGGCGUACGUCAGUAUAAAGGCGGCUCAAAGAGUCGGAUUGUUUGGGAAUGCAGUCCAAAAUGGGUGGUACAUGUCAUCUAAAGCUAAAUAUAGGCAAGAGACCGAUAGCGAACAAGUACCGUGAGGGAAAGAUGAAAAGAACUUUGAAAAGAGAGUUAAAUAGUACGUGAAAUUGUUAAAAGGGAAACGAUUGAGACCAGUGAUGUGUCAGUCCUUGAGCACACCUUUCGGGGUAUGUGUUUGGGCUUGAUACGAGUCGACGCUCCUUUUGCAUGCUGGAAAAGACAAGAGGAAAGGUGGCUCCAUCUUCGGGUGGCUGCUUUAUAGUCCUCUUGGGAUACAGGAUGUGAGAGGAGACAGGGUUAGGGUUGCAAUAUACUCACGUCGACGAAAUGGUCUUAAACGACCCGUCUUGAAACACGGACCAAGGAGUCUAACAUCUAUGCGAGUAUUUGAGUGGCAAACUCGAGUGCGUAAAGAAACUGAACGCGUGGGACUUGUUCACUCAUGAUGUGGUGAGCAAUGCACCAUGGGCCGGUCCUUGUCUUGACUUGGAUUGCGCUGGAGCAUAUCUGUUGGGACCCGAAAGAUGGUGAACUAUGCCUGAAUAGGGUGAAGCCAGGGGAAACUCUGGUGGAGGCUCGUAGACAUUCUGACGUGCAAAUCGAUGUUCAAAUUUGGGUAUAGGGGCGAAAGACUAAUCGAACCAUCUAGUAGCUGGUUCCCUC